AACGCUAGCUACAGGCUUAACACAUGCAAGUCGAGGGGCAGCAUGGUCUUAGCUUGCUAAGGCCGAUGGCGACCGGCGCACGGGUGAGUAACACGUAUCCAACCUGCCGUCUACUCUUGGGCAGCCUUCUGAAAGGAAGAUUAAUACAAGAUGGCAUCAUGAGUCCGCAUGUUCACAUGAUUAAAGGUAUUCCGGUAGACGAUGGGGAUGCGUUCCAUUAGAUAGUAGGCGGGGUAACGGCCCACCUAGUCUUCGAUGGAUAGGGGUUCUGAGAGGAAGGUCCCCCACAUUGGAACUGAGACACGGUCCAAACUCCUACGGGAGGCAGCAGUGAGGAAUAUUGGUCAAUGGGCGAGAGCCUGAACCAGCCAAGUAGCGUGAAGGAUGACUGCCCUAUGGGUUGUAAACUUCUUUUAUAAAGGAAUAAAGUCGGGUAUGGAUACCCGUUUGCAUGUACUUUAUGAAUAAGGAUCGGCUAACUCCGUGCCAGCAGCCGCGGUAAUACGGAGGAUCCGAGCGUUAUCCGGAUUUAUUGGGUUUAAAGGGAGCGUAGAUGGAUGUUUAAGUCAGUUGUGAAAGUUUGCGGCUCAACCGUAAAAUUGCAGUUGAUACUGGAUAUCUUGAGUGCAGUUGAGGCAGGCGGAAUUCGUGGUGUAGCGGUGAAAUGCUUAGAUAUCACGAAGAACUCCGAUUG
This 694-nucleotide ribosomal RNA is filed under the name uncultured bacterium. RNAcentral describes it as "bacterial SSU rRNA". It matches the Rfam family "Bacterial small subunit ribosomal RNA", at positions 32 to 715 of the family's 1533-position model. The record is from RNAcentral.